RNAcentral lists this ribosomal RNA (460 nucleotides) under uncultured bacterium. RNAcentral describes it as "partial 16S ribosomal RNA". It matches the Rfam family "Bacterial small subunit ribosomal RNA", at positions 338 to 795 of the family's 1533-position model. The record is from RNAcentral.
CCUACGGGUGGCAGCAGUGAGGAAUAUUGGUCAAUGGACGAAAGUCUGAACCAGCGAAGUAGCGUGAAGGAUGACUGCCCUCUGGGUUGUAAACUUCUUUUAUAUGGGAAUAAAACGUUCCACGUGUGGGAUUUUGUCUGUCCCAUAUGAAUCAGGAUCGGCUAACUCCGUGCCAGCAGCCGCGGUAAUACGGAGGAUCCGGGCGUUAUCCGGAUUUAUUGGGUUUAAAGGGAGCGUAGGUGGAUUGUUAAGUCAGUUGUGAAAGUUUGGGGCUCAACCGUAAAAUUGUAGUUGAAACUGGCAGUCUUGAGUACAGGAGAGGUGGGCGGAAUUCGUGGUGUAGCGGUGAAAUGCGUAGAUAUUACGAAGAACUCCGAUUGCGAAGGCAGUUCACUGGACUGCAACUGACACUGAGGCUCGAAAGUGUGGGUAUCAAACAGGAUUAGAUACCCGAGUAGUC